Non-coding RNA from Cinara cedri, 264 nucleotides. The record is from the annotation of a GenBank genome assembly. Lineage: Eukaryota; Metazoa; Arthropoda; Insecta; Hemiptera; Aphididae.
AUUUAUUAAAAUGUCUUUUCAUGGUAUAUAUUGUACUGAUAAAUGUUAGUAUAGAAUAUAUUAAAGCCUGUUCAAAGUAGUACAAAUUUAAUGCACAUGCUACAGAUGGUAAAAAAAGAUAUUUAAUGAAGUUGGUGUCCAGGCAAAACUAACUGGUUAAGAAUUGGAGAAGACAAUACAAGAUUUAUGACGACAAAAAAAUAUUGUUUACUAAUUAUGGUUAAAAUGAGCCAGUGUUGUAUUAUAAAAUAAAUUAGAUAUUUG